AGUUUAUAGAACAGAUUAUCUCUGUAAGUUAGAGGCAGAACCUCUAAAUAGUUGACAUAUAAACUAGCACUAAGGAAGUGGAACCGAAGGACUGGUACAAACAGACUAUCGCACAAAUGAAUAUUACUGUCUGACAAUCAAAUAGUCUCUUGUCUAGGCAUAGCAAGAGGAUCUAUUCUCCCAUGAGACAGUGUUAUGACACCAACAACCAGAGACCAGACUGGACUAUUAUCGUGUAAGUUUAC
Molecule: long non-coding RNA, 245 nt
Filed under: Mytilus galloprovincialis (Mediterranean mussel)
Lineage: Eukaryota; Metazoa; Mollusca; Bivalvia; Mytilida; Mytilidae
Source: RNAcentral